UGGCUAAUACUGCAAAGUUUGGGAUCCACAGUCUACAAAACCCCACAUCCCCUGAGAAUUCUCUCGCCUGCCUUAGGCACUUAGGCUCCGGGAGAUUGCAAAUAACCUGCUUUCUUUCUGUUCCCGGGCUGCGUUCGGACUCCUGUCAGAUAGUAAAUCCUAAGUGGCGUCGGACCCCUGUCAGAGAGUAAAUCUCAAGUAAGGUACCUGCCAUCGGCAGAUUUGAGCUUUCUUCUUGGACACCUAAUACCCACAGUCCUCCAGGCUCCGGUAGACUGCAAAUGACCUGCUUUCUUUCUGUUCCCGGGCUGCGUUUGGACCCCUGUCGGAUAGUAAAUCCCAAGUAAGGUACCUGCCCUCGGCAGAUUUGAGCUUUCUUCUUGGACACCUAAUACCCACAGUCCCCCAGGCUCCGGUAGACUGCAAAUGACCUGCUUUCUUUCUGUUCCCGGGCUGCGUUUGGACCCCUGUCGGACAGUAAAUCCCAAGUAAGGUACCUGCCCUCGGCAGAUUUGAGCUUUCUUCUUGGACACCUAAUACCCACAGUCCUCCAGGAUAACUUCAGGAAGUGGGUAUUAAUUCUCACGGUAUAAGUGAAGACAUUAAGCACCAGAGUUUAAGUAGCUUGAUCCACUGAAAGAGAUUCAACUGUGUGGAACCUAUGCCGUGGAGAAUUGCUUUCUGCCAUUGUUAUCGUCCAGCAGUUGCCGAAUAGCUCUGACCUGAGCAAAGCAGUGAAACGCGGUGCUGUUGAGUGGGUUGCCACUGCACCUUUUUCAACUACUCUAGUCUUGUGGAGAAAAUACCCCUUCUAAAUUUUUUCUUCAUUGAAUACUCUCCCUCAGCUCCAGAGUACCAUAUAGAGUUUUCUUGUAUUUUAGAGUUACUGUUUUAUCAAAGUUUACCAGUCUUUUGUAUUACAUUUCUCCUGUCUAAAUCGACUGUGUGGUUUCUACUCAUUAUGGAUAUAGAUUGAUACAAACUCAAUAAAUAUUUUUGAAUGAAUAA
RNAcentral lists this long non-coding RNA (1008 nucleotides) under Homo sapiens (human). RNAcentral's name for it is "long intergenic non-protein coding RNA 1198". The record is from RNAcentral. Lineage: Eukaryota; Metazoa; Chordata; Mammalia; Primates; Hominidae.